Molecule: long non-coding RNA, 565 nt
Filed under: Elaeis guineensis (African oil palm)
Lineage: Eukaryota; Viridiplantae; Streptophyta; Magnoliopsida; Arecales; Arecaceae
Description: long non-coding RNA (EGUI_LNC080027)
Source: RNAcentral
AGGGACCAAACCAUCUUGAUGAUUAGGUCAACUCUUAACCUAAUCGGGUCAAACCCAACUGAAUACAAUUCAAUUGGACUUGAUCCAAAAAUAAUUACUCAAUCAAAUUGAGUUAAUUAAUGAUCAAAUCACUAAUUAAAUCUCUCAUAAAUACUGAAUCCAAAUUCGAUGGGCAAUCGAGCAUCAGAAUUCAUCGAUAUGUAACCCUGAUCGAAAAGUCCCAACCAGUGGGACUCUUGACCUCGAUACCCAUAAUGUGUGGAACUCGUGAUCAGAGAAUCCUGAUUCUCGAUCACCGAGUCCCAAACAUGUAGGAUUGUACAUCAGCCAUCAGAGCAGAUAGGAACCUCUAAUGUGUGUGACCCCGUAGGUUCGAACCUAAGCCGGUAGCACAGGAACCAAUUCCUAUACUAAUCGAAGUGACCAUCUAGCAAUGGUACCCGAUAUCCAGAUAGAUCGAAGAGUCGCAAUCGCAACACUCAAAACCUACAUGAAUAUGGUUACUGUAUAAUUCAUCCUUUUGACUCCUGUGUUUAGGAUGACUCAAGGUUAAACUGUCAACCCU